Molecule: ribosomal RNA, 383 nt
Filed under: uncultured Thermincola sp.
Lineage: Bacteria; Bacillati; Bacillota; Clostridia; Eubacteriales; Thermincolaceae
Description: bacterial SSU rRNA
Rfam family: Bacterial small subunit ribosomal RNA
Source: RNAcentral
CUACGGGAGGCAUUUUGUGGGGAAUCUUCCGCAAUGGGCGAAAGCCUGACGGAGCAACGCCGCGUGAAUGAUGAAGGCCUUCGGGUUGUAAAGUUCUGUCUUCAGGGAAGAACAAAAUGACGGUACCUGAGGAGGAAGCCCCGGCUAACUACGUGCCAGCAGCCGCGGUAAUACGUAGGGGGCAAGCGUUGUCCGGAAUUACUGGGCGUAAAGAGCGUGUAGGCGGGUUAUUAAGUCAGAUGUGAAAACUUGGGGCUCAACCGCAAGAGUGCAUCUGAUACUGGUAAUCUUGAGGGUAUGAGAGGAAAACGGUAUUCCUAGUGUAGCGGUGAAAUGCGUAGAUAUUAUGGAGGAACACCAGUGGCGAACGCGGACUUUGCAUG